RNAcentral lists this ribosomal RNA (406 nucleotides) under uncultured bacterium. RNAcentral's name for it is "partial 16S ribosomal RNA". It matches the Rfam family "Bacterial small subunit ribosomal RNA", at positions 29 to 526 of the family's 1533-position model. The record is from RNAcentral.
AUUGAACGCUGGCGGCAGGCCUAACACAUGCAAGUCGAACGAGUGGCGGACGGGUGAGGAAUGUCUGGGAAACUGCCUGAUGGAGGGGGAUAACUACUGGAAACGGUAGCUAAUACCGCAUACCAUCAGAUGUGCCCAGAUGGGAUUAGCUUGUUGGUGGGGUAACGGCUAACUAAGGCGACGAUCCCUAGCGGGUCUGAGAGGAUGACCGGCACCACUGGAACUGGGACACGGUCCGGCCUCCUACGGGAGGCAGAGGUGGGGAAUAUUGGAAAAUGGGCGCAAGCCUGACGCGGCCAUGCCGCGUGUAUGAGGAAGGCCUUCGGGUUGUAAAGUACUUUCAGCGGGGAGGCGUUACCCGAAGAAGAAGCACCGGCUAACUCCGUGCCAGCAGCCGCGGUAAUAC